UAUGGUGUAAUAGCGCUGGAGCUUGCUUAUCAUUAUUCACAUUUUAGUGGUAUCCUUUAGUAAGGGAUAUUCAAGCAAGCAGACGAGGAAGAGGUUUAUCGAAAAUUCAGCGGAUACCUCUCGGCUACUCUGCGGCCGCCAAACAGCGACAAAACUGUAGGGCAACUUACAGGACAAAACGUCUGAGGCAGAUUU
Molecule: non-coding RNA, 195 nt
Filed under: Pelosinus sp. UFO1
Lineage: Bacteria; Bacillati; Bacillota; Negativicutes; Selenomonadales; Sporomusaceae
Also listed under: 1 other name
Description: glmS glucosamine-6-phosphate activated ribozyme aptamer
Rfam family: glmS glucosamine-6-phosphate activated ribozyme aptamer
About the family: This entry contains a glucosamine-6-phosphate activated ribozyme that is found in the mRNA for GlmS. GlmS is an enzyme that uses fructose-6-phosphate and glutamine to generate glucosamine-6-phosphate.
Source: Rfam by way of RNAcentral